CUUACCAGGAGGAUUUUGAACCUCUCCUAAGAAAUCAAAAUUCUUUGUGCCCUAACACCGCUUUGUAA
Molecule: transfer RNA, 68 nt
Filed under: Babylonia borneensis
Lineage: Eukaryota; Metazoa; Mollusca; Gastropoda; Neogastropoda; Buccinidae
Description: tRNA-Gln
Source: RNAcentral